UACGUAGGGCGCAAGCGUUGUCCGGAAUUAUUGGGCGUAGAGAGCUCGUAGGCGGCUUGUCACGUCGGGUGUGAAAGCCCGGGGCUUAACCCCGGGUCUGCAUUCGAUACGGGCUAGCUAGAGUGUGGUAGGGGAGAUCGGAAUUCCUGGUGUAGCGGUGAAAUGCGCGGAUAUCAGGAGGAACACCGGUGGCGAAGGCGGAUCUCUGGGCCAUUACUGACGCUGAGGAGCGAAAGCGUGGGGAGCGAACAGG
Molecule: ribosomal RNA, 253 nt
Filed under: uncultured bacterium
Lineage: Bacteria
Description: partial 16S ribosomal RNA
Rfam family: Bacterial small subunit ribosomal RNA
Source: RNAcentral